RNAcentral lists this unclassified non-coding RNA (220 nucleotides) under Hevea brasiliensis (rubber tree). Lineage: Eukaryota; Viridiplantae; Streptophyta; Magnoliopsida; Malpighiales; Euphorbiaceae. The record is from RNAcentral.
UGACGAUCCACCACAAAACCGAGUAUCGCUACGACCGGCCGGUGGCGUUCGGCGAGCACCGGAUCAUGCUGCGCCCGCGCGACGGCCACGACAUCCGUGUGCUGUCGGAACGGCUCGACAUCUCGCCGCAGCCGUCUUCGCUGCGCCGCAUUCACGAUGUUUUCGGCAACAGCGUCGCCAUCGCCGAUUUCGACAUCGAGGCGGACCGGCUGGUGUUCGA